This 253-nucleotide ribosomal RNA is filed under the name uncultured bacterium. RNAcentral's name for it is "partial 16S ribosomal RNA". It matches the Rfam family "Bacterial small subunit ribosomal RNA", at positions 524 to 776 of the family's 1533-position model. The record is from RNAcentral.
UACGUAGGGUGCAAGCGUUGUCCGGAUUCACUGGGUGUAAAGGGUGCGCAGGCGGGCUCUUAAGUCAAAGGUGAAAUCUCACGGCUUAACCGAGAAAUUGCCUUUGAUACUGAGAGCCUUGAGUACGGGAGAGGGAGAUGGAAUUCCAGGUGUAGCGGUGAAAUGCGUAGAUAUCUGGAGGAACACCGGAGGCGAAGGUGGUCUCCAGGCCCGUUAGUGACUCUCAGGCAUGAAAGCGUGGGGAGCAAACAGG